AAAAAAAGCAGGGGGGUCUCUAAAAUAUGAUGUGUAGAGAAUGAAGGCAAAUCACAGACAGACACACCCUUUACAAAGAUUUACCUACAAACACAUCUCAAGAAGCCUGGGAGGACUUGUUACAGAAUGCAAACAGUUGUUCCCAAGUCACAUCUUGCUACUCCCAGAAGAGGUGAUGGAUGCUUAAAUGUCCUUAAUUUUUGCAUUUGCCAUUCCACCCACCUGGAAAGCCAGUCAGUUGUUCUUCCCUUCCUGUGAAUGCCUGCCCAUCCCUCCGGGCUCCGGUAAAUACUGCUACCUCUCUGACAGGCAUCAGUGUAGCUCACAUCACUCUCUGUGUCCUCAUUGUCUCCCUCACAACGUUGUCAUUUCAAUUAGCUGCUUGUGUGCUUCCCACAAGCCUUCCCAGUAGACUGAGCUUUAGGACUGCAGAAUCAUAUUUUUAUUUCUUACUCCAGGGCCUCCCCAGCCUCUCUAGGGAGAGGUUAAAACCUCAUUGGCGCAAGCCAAAGUUACCUCUGCUGCAGUCGGUUCAUGUCUACUCGUGUUCAGCAAGCAUGCUAUAAGGUGGUGCACAAGGCCUAUUUGCUGAGGGACAUCGAAGAGAAGGAUGUAGGCGAACCAGGAAGGUGGAGAUGUCAUCCUCCAGCCCCAUCUUUCUCCAGUCCCCAGUGAGCUGCACAACAUAAAGUCUGACCAUGCUGCCCUCUGAAAUGAACUUUCUUCGUGAAGCACCGCAUCCUCAUCCCACCAGUGACAGCAGAUAAGAGUAAAACUGUCCAAAGGGACCUGACAGCACUGACCAAAGGGGCAGAGGCUAGCCCGAGUCUCACUUUCAAGAUGUGUGCUGGUUAGUUU
Molecule: non-coding RNA, 858 nt
Organism: Cricetulus griseus (Chinese hamster)
Lineage: Eukaryota; Metazoa; Chordata; Mammalia; Rodentia; Cricetidae
Source: RefSeq, a predicted model, not a curated record